Molecule: small nuclear RNA, 108 nt
Organism: Meriones unguiculatus (Mongolian gerbil)
Lineage: Eukaryota; Metazoa; Chordata; Mammalia; Rodentia; Muridae
Source: Ensembl
UUACUUCAGCCGUACAUAUGCUAAAAUUGCAACAAUACAGAGAAAAUUCACAUGUCCCUGGUGCAAAGAUACCAUCUAAUUCUCGGAUACAACAGAAAACAGAUUUUA